RNAcentral lists this ribosomal RNA (406 nucleotides) under uncultured bacterium. RNAcentral's name for it is "bacterial SSU rRNA". It matches the Rfam family "Bacterial small subunit ribosomal RNA", at positions 355 to 774 of the family's 1533-position model. The record is from RNAcentral.
UGGGGAAUAUUGCACAAUGGGGGAAACCCUGAUGCAGCAACGCCGCGUGAAGGAAGACGGUUUUCGGAUUGUAAACUUCUAUCGACAGGGACGAAGAAAGUGACGGUACCUGAAUAAGAAGCCCCGGCUAACUACGUGCCAGCAGCCGCGGUAAUACGUAGGGGGCAAGCGUUAUCCGGAAUUACUGGGUGUAAAGGGAGCGUAGGCGGCAUGGUAAGCCAGAUGUGAAAGCCCGGGGCUUAACUCCGAGGAUUGCAUUUGGAACUAUCAAGCUAGAGUACAGGAGAGGAAAGCGGAAUUCCUAGUGUAGCGGUGAAAUGCGUAGAUAUUAGGAAGAACACCAGUGGCGAAGGCGGCUUUCUGGACUGAAACUGACGCUCAGGCUCGAAAGCGUGGGGAGCAAACA